RNAcentral lists this ribosomal RNA (778 nucleotides) under Bacteroidales bacterium. RNAcentral describes it as "partial 16S ribosomal RNA". It matches the Rfam family "Bacterial small subunit ribosomal RNA", at positions 1 to 466 of the family's 1533-position model. Lineage: Bacteria; Pseudomonadati; Bacteroidota; Bacteroidia; Bacteroidales. The record is from RNAcentral.
ACAAUGAAGAGUUUGAUCCUGGCUCAGGAUGAACGCUAGCGGCAGGCUUAACACAUGCAAGUCGAGGGGCAGCAUGAGACGGAGAUUCGUCGAAGUCUUGAUGGCGACCGGCGCAAGGGUGCGUAACGCGUGAGCAACUUGCCCGUUUCAGGGGGAUAACCGUUGGAAACGACGACUAAUACCCCAUAGUAUCGUGAAGAGGCAUCUCUUUAUGAUUAAAGAAUUUCGGAAACGGAUAGGCUCGCGUGACAUUAGCUAGAUGGCGGGGUAACGGCCCACCAUGGCGACGAUGUCUAGGGGUUCUGAGAGGAAGGUCCCCCACACUGGAUCGCCUUAAGUCAGUAAUACCUCCAGAAUACCAGUGUAAAAUAACAGUUCCAUCAAAACCAUCGAGCAUAUCAACUACUUUCUUUGAAGCAGACCGACUAUGAACACUUAAUAUUUUAUUAUUUCCAGAACACCACUCUAAUAUUUUUUCAAAUACUUCUGUUUGCUUCGAUACAUCUUCUUUUGAUUUUUUGGUAUAAUCCAAACCAAUUUCACCAAUAAAUCUAGUUUCACUUAGCAAUUCCUUAAACAAUAUUUGUUGGUUACUAUAUUGAUACACCAAUUCCGGAUGAAAGCCCAAAGCUAAUUGAAAAUACUUAUUUUCAACAUAUUGAUGCUUAUACUUUUCAAAGAGCUGCGGCAAAUUAGUUACUGCUAUGGUAUAAGACUCUUUUUGCUCAACAUAUCUUAAUAAUUCAUUUCUAUCAUCAUAUAAAUCAAAAUGCAUAUG